AAAUUGAAGAGUUUGAUCAUGGCUCAGAUUGAACGCUGGCGGCAGGCUUAACACAUGCAAGUCGAGCGGUAGCACAGAGAGCUUGCUCUCGGGUGACGAGCGGCGGACGGGUGAGUAAUGUCUGGGAAACUGCCUGAUGGAGGGGGAUAACUACUGGAA
RNAcentral lists this ribosomal RNA (159 nucleotides) under Acinetobacter baumannii. RNAcentral describes it as "partial 16S ribosomal RNA". It matches the Rfam family "Bacterial small subunit ribosomal RNA", at positions 1 to 155 of the family's 1533-position model. The record is from RNAcentral. Lineage: Bacteria; Pseudomonadati; Pseudomonadota; Gammaproteobacteria; Moraxellales; Moraxellaceae.